CAACAUACACUUAAUAAUUGUAUCAUGCCCAAGAAAAUCAUAUGAACAAUAAUUAGUAUAGAAUAAUAACAUUUUCUCCCACAAAAUAGUAAGUGUUGAGCAACGGUGGCAAUCAGGUUAGGUCAAAUAUAAAUCAGGCUAAAAAUUCAUCAAAUCUGAAUCUAUUUAUUAAAUAGAUCAAAAGAUCUAGAUUCAAAUUUGAUCUUUUUAUUAAAUAUGUAACUUGACCUGAUCUACGUAACCCAUUUACUAAAU
Molecule: long non-coding RNA, 255 nt
Filed under: Elaeis guineensis (African oil palm)
Lineage: Eukaryota; Viridiplantae; Streptophyta; Magnoliopsida; Arecales; Arecaceae
Description: long non-coding RNA (EGUI_LNC043046)
Source: RNAcentral